UACGUAGGGGGCAAGCGUUGUCCGGAAUCAUUGGGCGUAAAGAGCGCGUAGGCGGCCCUGUAAGUCCGCUGUGAAAGUCAAGGGCUCAACCCUUGAAUGCCGGUGGAUACUGCAGGGCUAGAGUCCGGAAGAGGCGAGUGGAAUUCCUGGUGUAGCGGUGAAAUGCGCAGAUAUCAGGAGGAACACCGAUGGCGAAGGCAGCUCGCUGGGACGGUACUGACGCUGAGGCACGAAAGCUAGGGGAGCGAACGGG
RNAcentral lists this ribosomal RNA (253 nucleotides) under uncultured bacterium. Its description in RNAcentral is "partial 16S ribosomal RNA". It matches the Rfam family "Bacterial small subunit ribosomal RNA", at positions 524 to 776 of the family's 1533-position model. The record is from RNAcentral.